This 405-nucleotide ribosomal RNA is filed under the name uncultured bacterium. RNAcentral's name for it is "partial 16S ribosomal RNA". It matches the Rfam family "Bacterial small subunit ribosomal RNA", at positions 28 to 526 of the family's 1533-position model. The record is from RNAcentral.
GAUGAACGCUGACAGCAUGCUUAACACAUGCAAGUCAACUUGUGGCGGACGGGUGAGUAACGCGUAAAGAACUUGCCUCACAGAUAGGGACAACAUUUGGAAACGAAUGCUAAUACCUGAUACUGUGAGAGAGCUUUGCGUCACAGUAGCUAGUUGGAGAGGUAACGGCUCACAAAGGCGAUGAUGGGUAGCCGGCCUGAGAGGGUGAUCGGCCACAAGGGGACGGAGACACGGCACUUACACCGACGAGAGGCAGCAGAGGGGAAUAUGGGAGAAGGGACAAAAGGCUGAUCGGACUAAUGUGUGUGAGCGAUGAACUUUUCGGAAUGAACAGUGGUGUCAGUUAGGAAGCGGUACCAACAGAAGAAGUGACGGCUAAAUACGUGCCAGCAGCCGCGGUAAUAC